AUGAGAACCAAUCCUACUACUUCUCGUCCUGGGGUUUCCACAAUAGAAGAAAAAAGUACAGGUCGUGUCGAUCAAAUUAUUGGACCCGUGCUGGAUAUCACUUUUCCCCUAGGCAAGUUACCUUAUAUUUAUAACGCUUUGGUAGUCCAGAGUAGAAAUAAUCGAGUUAGAGUUGUACCUAUGAGUGCUACGGACAGGUUGAUGGGAGGAAUGGAAGUGAUUGACACGGGAGCUCCUCUCACUGUUCCAGUCGGUGGAGCUACUCUCGGACGAAACGUUCUUGGGGAGCCUGUUGACAAUUUGGGUCCUGUAGAUAGUAGUGCAACAUUCCCUAUUCGUAGAUCUGCUCCUGCCUUUAUCGAGUUAGAUAAGAAAUUAUCCAUCUUUGAAACAGGUAUUAAGGUCGUCGAUCUUUUAGCUCCUUAUCGACAUGGAGGGAAAAUAGGACUAUUUGGGGGCACUGCAGUAGGUAAAACAGUACUGAUCAUGGAAUUAAACAAUAACAUUGCUAAAGCUCAUGGGGGCGUAUCUGUAUUAGGUGGAGUAGGGGAACGGACUCAUGAAGGAAAUGAUCUUUAUAUGGAAAUGAAGGAAUUCAGAGUAAUUAAUGAAAAAAUAUUGAGGAAUCAAAGGUAG
This 636-nucleotide ribosomal RNA is filed under the name Triticum aestivum (bread wheat). Its description in RNAcentral is "partial small subunit ribosomal RNA". The record is from RNAcentral. Lineage: Eukaryota; Viridiplantae; Streptophyta; Magnoliopsida; Poales; Poaceae.